GCUCCCGCGGCCGAACCGCC
This 20-nucleotide non-coding RNA is filed under the name Arabidopsis thaliana (thale cress). Lineage: Eukaryota; Viridiplantae; Streptophyta; Magnoliopsida; Brassicales; Brassicaceae. The record is from RNAcentral.